UGGGGACCCGCGACCUCCCCACGAGGCGACAUGCCGAAGUAUCGC
RNAcentral lists this non-coding RNA (45 nucleotides) under unclassified sequences. The record is from RNAcentral.